GGACAUAAGGGUGAUCUGGCUGUAAUGUCUGUUGCUGCACUGAAGUUGAUCUGGCUGACUGGGUGGCUGUCCCUUUCCUCUCUCAGUAUUCCAUGUGCGUGUCUCCCAAAGCUAGGUACGUGGUCAAAGAUGGCUUUCCCUGUAGGGAGGACUGUUCUGUCAAGGAUAUAAGAGUAGUUCUGCUCUUCUGUUAGAACCUUCAAACAAACUCUGAAGAAAGGUGCCAGAGCCUGAGAGAUGGCUCAGCAGGUCAAGGCCCUUGCUG
RNAcentral lists this small nuclear RNA (265 nucleotides) under Peromyscus maniculatus bairdii (prairie deer mouse). Its description in RNAcentral is "7SK RNA (ENSPEMG00000002393.2)". It matches the Rfam family "7SK RNA". Rfam says of the family: 7SK was discovered as an abundant small nuclear RNA in the mid-70s but a possible function has only recently been suggested. Two independent studies have found that 7SK RNA binds the CDK9/cyclin T complex (known as elongation factor P-TEFb). Lineage: Eukaryota; Metazoa; Chordata; Mammalia; Rodentia; Cricetidae. The record is from Rfam by way of RNAcentral.